AUUGAACGCUGGCGGCAUGCCUUACACAUGCAAGUCGAACGGUAACAGGUCUUCGGACGCUGACGAGUGGCGAACGGGUGAGUAAUACAUCGGAACGUGCCCAGUCGUGGGGGAUAACUACUCGAAAGAGUAGCUAAUACCGCAUACGAUCUGAGGAUGAAAGCGGGGGACCUUCGGGCCUCGCGCGAUUGGAGCGGCCGAUGGCAGAUUAGGUAGUUGGUGGGAUAAAAGCUUACCAAGCCGACGAUCUGUAGCUGGUCUGAGAGGACGACCAGCCACACUGGGACUGAGACACGGCCCAGACUCCUACGGGAGGCAGCAGUGGGGAAUUUUGGACAAUGGGCGAAAGCCUGAUCCAGCAAUGCCGCGUGCAGGAAGACUGCCCUAUGGGUUGUAAACUGCUUUUAUAGUAGAAGAAACACAUCUACGUGUAGAUGUCUGCCAGUAUACUAUGAAUAAGCAUCGGCUAACUCCGUG
This 477-nucleotide ribosomal RNA is filed under the name uncultured bacterium. RNAcentral's name for it is "bacterial SSU rRNA". It matches the Rfam family "Bacterial small subunit ribosomal RNA", at positions 30 to 507 of the family's 1533-position model. The record is from RNAcentral.